This is a non-coding RNA of Triticum urartu, 126 nucleotides long. The record is from Rfam. NCBI's taxonomy places the organism in Eukaryota, Viridiplantae, Streptophyta, Magnoliopsida, Poales, Poaceae.
UAAAUACUCCCUCCGUCCGAAAAAGCUUGUCCCAAGCUUGUCCCUCAAAUGGAUGUAUCUAGCACCAAGUUAGUGAUAGAUACAUCCAUUUGAGGGACAAACUUUUUCGGACGGAGGGAGUAGGAA